This is a non-coding RNA of Pelobates cultripes (western spadefoot toad), 268 nucleotides long. The record is from the annotation of a GenBank genome assembly. Lineage: Eukaryota; Metazoa; Chordata; Amphibia; Anura; Pelobatidae.
CCAGGAAUUCCGCAGAAUUGGCAAGAGAACUGCAAAUUUUAAGCUCUAUUUGCCAAACUGAGUUGGAUAAUUUUGCCCUAAAAUGUGGUGUUUGUUCUUUGCUAUUCUUUGCUUAAGCUUCAAUAUCUUUUACUUAAGUAGCCUUAUUUUACUAGCAAGAUGACUCAACAAGAAAUAAUACAAUUAUAAUAAUUUGAGGCUUCAUUAUAAACCAAUUUCACCAUAACCAAAAAUGUAUGACGUGAAAUAAGUAUUGCCUUAUAUAUAC